GACGAACGCUGGCGGCGUGCUUAACACAUGCAAGUCGAACGGAAAGGCCCCCUUGUGGGGUACUCGAGUGGCGAACGGGUGAGUAACACGUGAGUAACCUACCCUUGACUUUGGGAUAACUUCAGGAAACUGGGGCUAAUACCGGAUAGGAGCUCCUGCUGCAUGGUGGGGGUUGGAAAGUUUCGGCGGUUGGGGAUGGACUCGCGGCUUAUCAGCUUGUUGGUGGGGUAGUGGCUCACCAAGGCUUUGACGGGUAGCCGGCCUGGGAGGGUGACCGGCCACAUUGGGACUGAGAUACGGCCCAGACGCCUACGGGAGGCAGCAGUGGGGAAUAUUGCACAAUGGGCGGAAGCCUGAUGCAGCAACGCCGCGUGCGGGAUGACGGCCUUCGGGUUGUAAACCGCUUUCGCCUGUGACGAAGCGUGAGUGACGGUAAUGGGUAAAGAAGCACCGGCUAACUACGUG
This 465-nucleotide ribosomal RNA is filed under the name uncultured bacterium. Its description in RNAcentral is "partial 16S ribosomal RNA". It matches the Rfam family "Bacterial small subunit ribosomal RNA", at positions 28 to 507 of the family's 1533-position model. The record is from RNAcentral.